GGACCAUUAGCGCAACUGGUUAGAGCAAGCCCCUCAUAAGGGUUAGGUUCUGGGUUCAAGUCCUAGAUGGUCCACCA
RNAcentral lists this transfer RNA (77 nucleotides) under Candidatus Onthovivens merdipullorum. RNAcentral describes it as "tRNA-Met". It matches the Rfam family "tRNA". Rfam says of the family: Transfer RNA (tRNA) molecules are approximately 80 nucleotides in length. Their secondary structure includes four short double-helical elements and three loops (D, anti-codon, and T loops). Lineage: Bacteria; Bacillati; Bacillota; Bacilli; Caryophanales. The record is from RNAcentral.